This 498-nucleotide ribosomal RNA is filed under the name uncultured Staphylococcus sp. RNAcentral's name for it is "bacterial SSU rRNA". It matches the Rfam family "Bacterial small subunit ribosomal RNA", at positions 38 to 506 of the family's 1533-position model. Lineage: Bacteria; Bacillati; Bacillota; Bacilli; Caryophanales; Staphylococcaceae. The record is from RNAcentral.
AAGUACGAGCGAACAGAUAAGGAGGCUUGUCUCCUUUCGUAAGUUAAGUACGGCGGACCGGGGUACGGAGGUAACAACCGUGGGUAACCGUAACCUACUAAGAACUCGGGAGUAACUUACGGGUAACCGGGAACGGCGUAAUACCGGUACUAAUAUUUAGUAACCGACGAUGGUUCUAAAGUGAAAGAUGGUUUUGCUAUCACUUAUAGAUGGACCCGCGCCGUAUUAGCUAGUUGGUAAGGUAACGGCUUACCAAGGCGACGAUACGUAGCCGACCUGAGAGGGUGAUCGGCCACACUGGAACUGAGACACGGUCCAGACUCCUACGGGAGGCAGCAGUAGGGAAUCUUCCGCAAUGGGCGAAAGCCUGACGGAGCAACGCCGCGUGAGUGAUGAAGGGUUUCGGCUCGUAAAACUCUGUUAUUAGGGAAGAACAAAUAUGUAAGUAACUGUGCACAUCUUGACGGUACCUAAUCAGAAAGCCACGGCUAACUACGU